Molecule: non-coding RNA, 2704 nt
Organism: Physcomitrium patens
Lineage: Eukaryota; Viridiplantae; Streptophyta; Bryopsida; Funariales; Funariaceae
Source: RefSeq, a predicted model, not a curated record
ACGUGUUCGCCUCUGGCUAGAACGUUCAUUUCGCUUCAUGUUAUCUCUUUUUGGGUAGUUUUAUUUAGAAAUGUCAUCAUCUGUAACCAAAUAUCUCCCCCUAGUUCCCACCACCAUGUCUUCAAUGUUGUGCGACGGUGUUGCCAAGUCAAUCGUAUGGCGUUGCUGAGAAGAUAAUCAGCCACAUUUUCCAUAGUUUUCCUCCAGUUACUGCGAGAGCAUGUGGUGGCGUUUCAUUCAGGAAGAAAGAAUGUCAGUUCAGUAGAGUCUCUACACUUGCAUGUGCAUUAUGCAACAGUGUGUUUAUCGAUCUCCUGCCGAUCUUGUUGCCGCAAGUUAAGAUUCACGUUCUGUACGUGGGUUUCAGCUCCCAUGGUUUCCAAGGCCGUGGUGCAACGAGUCACAUCUAUACGCAUUGAGGUCGUUUUUGUGGCCUUCUCGCGGCUGCAUUGUUGGAGUCUUGCCUAACUCAUGGUGCAAUGUAUUGCUUGUAACUUCCUCUAGUCAAUUCGGUUAUGAAGAGUGAGCUUGGUGGAAUAUGACAGCAGAUGCAUAGUUUGCAAUGAAGUUGCAUUGUUCAUUUUCCCUUCACAUAAGAAAGUUGUUCAGGGUUGUAGCAUGCGUAUGCGGAUGUGGUUAUGGAUCACCUUGCACCUCACUUUCUUCGUCUUACUCAACCAUGGCAGAUUUCCGAGUGUAGUUGGUUAGAGUUGACAGUCUCGGUACUUCUUUAACAGUUCAGUUUCUCAUCUUCGAUCGCGUAGUUAAGAGUUGGUAGUGGGUAUGAAAUUUUGGGUAUGAAUUGGCGGGUGGAUGGUAAAAUAGCAUAAAAAUUUGGCCCUAGCUCGCUGGUGCUUGUGGAUCUUCUCGACUUCAUUACUAAAAUAGACUCCGACCCAUAUUUGUGUCAAUCUUCCAGUUUCUGUCACUGCAUGAAAACUUCAGUCUAUUGCCAUUGCUUACAAUUUCAGAUUCUAAUUCUGACGCUCUCCUGUGUACCGUCCUGUAAUCUCUUGAAAUCACUUUGUCGAAUUGAGGAUUGCAAGCUCAUCUCCUCCGAUUCUUUACGAGAACUGAAUCAGUUUUUCGGUUCUUUGUUAUGUCUCUACUUUGAUGUUAUUAAAAUUUCAGCUAUUGAAAGGUCUCCAAUAUGCAUCUGUCCAGCAUCAGAAGACGAGCAAACCGUGGGAUCAGAGCGUUAAUUGUCUGACUUUUUAGUUCAUUUCUUUCUAGGGCUAUGAUUUCCUUUGUGUGAUUGUUAAUUCGUGUUGCGCCUUGUUUUGUUGAAGAGUUUAUGGAAGUAAAGAAAAGUCGUUCAUGUUUAGAGAAUUGGAAGAAAUUGAUCACCUUACAGUUGAGGAGUCUUUCUAGGGUCAAAAGAUAACGAAACUUAUGCAGAUGGGGAGAAAUUGAUGUGAAAUUUGACAUGGUAACAACGAUUGUGAAACGAUCUUGUCUUCGAGUUGUUCACGAUCACAUGGCACCUGCGUAAAAGAGUCAUUUUACCUGAUCAAAUUAUUGCAAGUACAGCCGUCUUCGUCGAAAUUAGAAUGUCAACAAUACACUUAUUGUUAGAUUCUGCAGGUGAUGCAAAAGAAUUAUGAAGUCUUGCUCGGCAAGUUUCCUUAUGCAGAUUUGUUCUGUUGGGGGAAUAUCUUAGAGAUCAUUCCAUGCAUAUGUAUUUUAGUAUUCGUUGAAUGGGUGGUAAUUUUUGCAGCAGCUAAUUCACUCUGGACGGAGCGUUGAAGACAACAACCCUGAUUUUCAUGUAGCCAUGCCCUCUCAGCUUACCAGGCCAUUUUUCGUGUCUCUUGUCCAGACUUCAGGAUGCUUACAAGCCUGACGCUGUAAAGGAGAACAGUUAGAUUUCAAGCUACACCGAAACAGGUUACAAUGUGUAAAAUUUUGGAAUUCGACUUUGCGUUGAUUUGUUGAGCCAUCAUUGAAGGAUCUGAAUGCAUUACUUGUAUUCUUGCAGACUUGGAAUUUUUAGGCAAACAUAGCACUCCUUUUGGACUGUCAUAUUUUAAUCUUGCUUGUAGAUCAUGCCUUCUGAUAUACUGGAGCAGUUGGAUUGUGUUUGGUGCAUCUAACGCGGAGAAGGAUGAGGUUUUAGGUUUAUUGUAACUUGUGUAAUUAAACAAGGCUACUAUCUUCAUCAAAAGCGGGCAUUCCCAGGUGUUUUUAUGCUCUCGGAAGGGGUUAAGCAAUGCCCAGUUCAAACGUUUGAAAAAUAGAAUUUUGAAGAAUACCCAUUUUCAAGAAUGUCUGCUACGUCACAAGCUGGAGUGAGACUCCUUAUAAUUCCCAGAUUCAGUAAGAAUACUAGGGCUUGUAUGCACAAAUGUGCUGAAUUGAAUAGUACUCAAAGCUGUCAUGCACUAGACAAUAUCCUUCCACAAAAGAAUCUUAUCCUAUAGUUGCGGAAAUCUUUGACAGAGAACUUCUCGACACUUGCCUAAAAUGGGUCAUAUGCUAAAAAUCUAAUUUGAAAGCUAUACAAGGAAGCAACUGCGGAAGGUUUCACAGGCAAUGAUAUUCUUCAGUAUUCUACAUCACAUUGGCUUUAGAACUUGGUAUCAGAAGCAGAUGUACCAAAUCUCGAGUCAUUCCUCCGAGAGGUGUAUGUUAUUCUGCUUGAAGCACAUCUAGAUCACAUCCACACAGGGUGUUGAUUUUUGUAAUAAACAUCUCUUUUUAGUUA